AAAAAAAAAAAAAAAAAAAAAAAAAGGGUCUUUGCUGUCACAAUUAAGCCUCUCAACAUGAGAUCAUCCUGGAUUGUUUAGAUGGGCCCUAAAUAUCACAACUAGAGUUUUGUUGUUGUUGUUGUUGGUUUGUUUCUUUGUUUUUGUGACGGAGUCUCACUCUAUCACCCGGCUGGAGUGCAGUGGUGUGAUCUUGGCUCACUGCAACCUCCACCUCCCGGGUCCAAGCGACUUUCCUGCCUCACCGUCCUGAGUAGCUGGGAUGACAGGUGCCCCCACCACACCCAGCCUAAUUUUUGUAUUUUUAGUAGAGACGGGGUUUCACCAUGUUGGCCAGGCUGGUCUCGAACUCCUGACCUCAAGCGAACAACUAGCAUUUUUAUAAACUACAGAAGACGGUGGCUAUUCAUCUGCCCCCUCUCUCCUGGGUAUUUGCGUGUCAGGUGCAGAGAUGGAGUCUUCUGAGGGCGCACAUCACAGCGUAGACAGAAAGUUGAGGUUGUACAUGCCGCAGGUUCCAGAUGGAAAUCACUAGUGCCUCCUCUUCUCUCUAAUAGGCACACUAGACACAGCAGGUGCAUUUUGGCGGUGGGAUGAGGUCCGACAGUCACCUUUAUUUUUUAUUUAUGUAUUCAUUAGUAUUAUUAUUUUUUGAGACUGAGUCUUAAACUGUCACCCAGGCUGGAGUGCAGUGGCGGCAUCUCGGCUCACUGCAACCUCCACUUCCCAGGUUCAAGGGAUUCUCCUGCCUCAGCCUCCUGAGUAGCUGGGAUUAUAGGCGCCCAUCACCAUGCCCAGCUAAUUUUUGUAUUUUUAGUAGGGACGGGGUUCGCCAUGUUGGUGAGGCUGGUCUCCAACUCUUUUUUUUUUUUUUUUUUUUUUUUGAGACGGAGUCUCGCUGUCUCCCAGGCUGGAGUUCAGUGCCUCAAUCUCGGCUCACUGCAAGCUCCACCUCCCGUGUUCUCGCCAUUCUCCUGCCUCAGCCUCCCCAGUAGCUGGGACUACAGGCGCCCGCCACCACACCUGGCUAAUUUUUUGUAUUUUUAGCCAUGGGGUUUCACCAUGUUAGCCAGGAUGGUCUCAAUCUCCUGACCUCGUGAUCUGCCUGCCUCGGCCUCCCAAAGUGCUGGGAUUACAGACAUGUGCCACCACGCCUGGCUAAUUUUUUGUAUUUUUAGUAGAGAUGGGGUUUCACCGUGUUGGCCAGGCUGGUCUCGAACUCCUGACCUUGGAUGAUCUGCUCGCCUCGGCCUCCCAAAUUGCUGGGAUGACAGACGUGAACCACCGUGCCUGGCCGACAGUCACCUUUAGAAUGUGAACAGUGGACACUGUGUUGGGGUCUCCUACCUGUGCCUGUGAUGUGGACUGGCCCAUCUCGUCAUGGACAAGUAGAGAUGGGGUUUCACCAUGUUGAGCAGUCUGGUCUUGAACUUCUGACCUCGUGAUCCACCCGCCUCAGCCCCCCAAAGUGCUGGGAUUACAGGCGUGAGCCACCGCGCCCGGCCUGAGACGGCUUUCCAAGGCUGCAGAAAUGAAGUCUGCAAUAGCAGAUCCUCUUUGCCUGGGUUUGCACGUGAUCCAGCAAACCACCCACCGACCCGUUGCCUCAUGUGAGACAUCCUCAGGGAACAGCAAGGUGAGCGUGCCGCAGAAUUUUGAAGGUCCCUGAUAAGACAUCUUUGAGGUCAGGCAUAAAUCAUCACUUCACAUCUUGACGGCAAUGCAACGAAGACAAGUAUCUGUCUCUUUGGGUCUGUCUAACAAGGAGCAAAGCCUGGCCUCCCACCAGCAUCCAGACAAUAGUGGAUUCCCUCUCCAUAGAUGUCAAAAAAGAAACAGAUGCUCCCGCAGGUGAAAUGAGCUCUGGUCCACAAUGCAACGCAGGCUGUGCAGAAAAUCAAAGAGGAACCAACCCAGAAGUAUCCCCCAGGACAAAUCAUUAAGGGGGAAAAGAUAUAAGAAGGGCCCUAAAUGCAAUGACAGCUGUUCUAAGAGACAGAAGAGGAGACGCAGACACAGAGGAGAAGGCCACGUGUAGACAGAGGCAGAGACUGCAGUGAUGUGGCCACAAGCCCAGGGAUGCCUGGAGCCCCCAGGAGCUGGGAGAGGCAGGAAGGAUCCUCCUCUAGAGCCUCCAGAAGGAACUGGAUACAAUUGGAAUGGGUUAUAUGGUGAUCCCCAAAAUAUAUGUUUAUUUCCUUUUCCCCAGAACCUAUAAAUGCAAUCUUACUUGGAAACAGGAUCUCUGCAAAUGUAAUUAGUGAAGGAUCUUGAAAUAAAACCUGUCCUAGAUUAGGGGGUCCUAAAUGCAAGGACAGGUGUCCUUCUAAACACAGAAGGGGAGACCCAGACAGAGGAGAAGGCCACAUGGAGACAGAGACUGGAGUGGUGUAGCCACGAGCCCAGGAAUGCUGGGAGCCCCUGGGA
This 2427-nucleotide long non-coding RNA is filed under the name Homo sapiens (human). Its description in RNAcentral is "HSALNT0279632". Lineage: Eukaryota; Metazoa; Chordata; Mammalia; Primates; Hominidae. The record is from RNAcentral.